GUAGGGGGCAAGCGUUGUCCGGAAUGACUGGGCGUAAAGGGCGUGUAGGCGGCGAUCUAAGUUAGGAGUGAAAGUCCAGCUUUUAAGGUUGGAAUUGCUUUUAAUACUGGAUGGCUUGAGUGCGGAAGAGGUAAGUGGAAUUCCCAGUGUAGCGGUGAAAUGCGUAGAGAUUGGGAGGAACACCAGUGGCGAAGGCGACUUACUGGGCCGUAACUGACGCUGAGGCGCGAAAGCGUGGGGAGCGAA
This 246-nucleotide ribosomal RNA is filed under the name uncultured bacterium. RNAcentral describes it as "partial 16S ribosomal RNA". It matches the Rfam family "Bacterial small subunit ribosomal RNA", at positions 527 to 772 of the family's 1533-position model. The record is from RNAcentral.